RNAcentral lists this ribosomal RNA (440 nucleotides) under uncultured Sphingobacteriales bacterium. RNAcentral's name for it is "bacterial SSU rRNA". It matches the Rfam family "Bacterial small subunit ribosomal RNA", at positions 940 to 1382 of the family's 1533-position model. The record is from RNAcentral. Lineage: Bacteria; Pseudomonadati; Bacteroidota; Sphingobacteriia; Sphingobacteriales.
UGUGGUUAAUUUCGAUGAUACGCGAGGAACCUUACCUGGGCUCAAAUGUAUGUUGACGUAUUCUGAAAGGGAUACUUCUUCGGACAAUAUACAAGGUGCUGCAUGGUUGUCGUCAGCUCGUGCCGUGAGGUGUCGGGUUAAGUCCCAUAACGAGCGCAACCCCUAUCAUUAGUUGCCAUCAGGUCAAGCUGGGGACUCUAAUGAAACUGCCUACGCAAGUAGUGAGGAAGGUGGGGAUGACGUCAAGUCAGCAUGGCCCUUACGGCCUGGGCUACACACGUGCUACAAUGGUCGGUACAAAGGGUUGCCAAGCCGCGAGGUGGAGCUAAUCCCAUAAAACCGAUCGUAGUCCGGAUCGCAGUCUGCAACUCGACUGCGUGAAGUCGGAAUCGCUAGUAAUCGUGAAUCAGAAUGUCACGGUGAAUACGUUCCCGGGCCUU